Molecule: non-coding RNA, 102 nt
Organism: Xylaria sp. CBS 124048
Lineage: Eukaryota; Fungi; Ascomycota; Sordariomycetes; Xylariales; Xylariaceae
Source: the annotation of a GenBank genome assembly
UCCGAAUUGGUGUAGUGGCUAACAUUUGACGCUCUCAAAACUCCCUUCCUUGUCUCCCGAGGGAGUACCGUCAAGCCCGGGGUUCGAUUCCCCGAUUCGGAG